ACUUUAUGAUUAUGUACUCAACAACCUAUGACUUCGGUGUAAGUAUCUACACUAUGUUUACAUCUGCUUUUACAGCUGAUAUACAACGAUGCGAACUUGGAUCAAUGGGUUGUGCCAGUAUAGUAGUAAAAUAAGCGCUAACAAGAAUUUGAUAAUGUUCUACCGUGCUCUAAAACUUAUAGCUUCCAUUGGCAAAAAUCUCAAGUUUUUCCUUCUACUGUAAACUUAAUAAUGUUCCCAAACGUUCAUUUCAACCAAACCAUAGUACCAUUUCAUUAUAUUACCUAAUUUUUCUUCUUUUCAUAGAUGACCCAACAUUAGUCAUCAGAAAUUAAUUUUGCCCUCGGGGUUAGUACACGACGCCGGUACAUUGCAGUCCAAUCUUGUAGAUGGGCACGCAACCGGGGCAUUUCGGAGGAGGUGCAGUGCUUAGAAAAAUUGGCUAGGAACUUUUCGCGUUCCUCUUGUCCAAUUGUCAUAGCCGGAAGUUGAUCUAAAACAUUCGACAUGUACUUAAUACACAAGCUAGGGUCAGCUGCAAAGACUAGCCGAAUAAGAGGAAUCAAAACCGCUGAUGCAUCUGAUAUGUUAUCUCUAGGAAAGGUAAACACCAUUCCAUUAAAAAGUAUGAUGUAUAGUUCUUGAGAAUUUUUAAGCAACAAGUCAGCUAAACUUUUUAAAAGCGAAUCAGGAAGUGGUUCGAUAAGUGAAUAAGGUGGUGUAUGCAAAGCAAAUGCAAGCAAGUCUUGUAGGAAAUUUAAAACUGUUUGAAGAGGCUCCUGCUGCUCCAGUUGUAAAGACAUCAUGGCCGCCUGUAUUAAAGAUUCUAGCAUUUGGCUCUCUAGUACCAUUUGUGGAUUUGCUAGUAAUGCAUCCAUCAUAAGUCGGAAAAAGUCAUCAAUCACAUCAGGUAUCUCUUUGGGGUUUUUGUUAGACAUGUAAUAAAACAUAUUUGUGCAUUGUUUCCCCACAAAGCUCCAAACAGCACUUAACGUUUGUUCAUCCAUUUCUGGCACACCAAAUUGACGCACACAUGCUCCG
Non-coding RNA from Schizosaccharomyces pombe (fission yeast), 1041 nucleotides. The record is from the annotation of a GenBank genome assembly. Lineage: Eukaryota; Fungi; Ascomycota; Schizosaccharomycetes; Schizosaccharomycetales; Schizosaccharomycetaceae.